Molecule: ribosomal RNA, 624 nt
Filed under: uncultured bacterium
Lineage: Bacteria
Description: bacterial SSU rRNA
Rfam family: Bacterial small subunit ribosomal RNA
Source: RNAcentral
UAAUACAAGAUGGCAUCAUGAGUCCGCAUGUUCACAUGAUUAAAGGUAUUCCGGUAGACGAUGGGGAUGCGUUCCAUUAGAUAGUAGGCGGGGUAACGGCCCACCUAGUCUUCGAUGGAUAGGGGUUCUGAGAGGAAGGUCCCCCACAUUGGAACUGAGACACGGUCCAAACUCCUACGGGAGGCAGCAGUGAGGAAUAUUGGUCAAUGGGCGAGAGCCUGAACCAGCCAAGUAGCGUGAAGGAUGACUGCCCUAUGGGUUGUAAACUUCUUUUAUAAAGGAAUAAAGUCGGGUAUGCAUACCCGUUUGCAUGUACUUUAUGAAUAAGGAUCGGCUAACUCCGUGCCAGCAGCCGCGGUAAUACGGAGGAUCCGAGCGUUAUCCGGAUUUAUUGGGUUUAAAGGGAGCGUAGAUGGAUGUUUAAGUCAGUUGUGAAAGUUUGCGGCUCAACCGUAAAAUUGCAGUUGAUACUGGAUAUCUUGAGUGCAGUUGAGGCAGGCGGAAUUCGUGGUGUAGCGGUGAAAUGCUUAGAUAUCACGAAGAACUCCGAUUGCGAAGGCAGCCUGCUAAGCUGCAACUGACAUUGAGGCUCGAAAGUGUGGGUAUCAAACAGGAUUAGAUACC